Molecule: ribosomal RNA, 253 nt
Filed under: uncultured bacterium
Lineage: Bacteria
Description: partial 16S ribosomal RNA
Rfam family: Bacterial small subunit ribosomal RNA
Source: RNAcentral
GCCGGAGGAUGCAAGCGUUAUCCGGAAUGAUUGGGCGUAAAGCGUCCGCAGGUGGCAGUUCAAGUCUGCUGUCAAAGACCGGGGCUUAACUUCGGAAAGGCAGUGGAAACUGAACAGCUAGAGUAUGGUAGGGGCAGAGGGAAUUCCUGGUGUAGCGGUGAAAUGCGUAGAUAUCAGGAAGAACAUCGGUGGCGAAGGCGCUCUGCUGGACCAUAACUGACACUCAGGGACGAAAGCUAGGGGAGCGAAUGGG